UACGUAGGUGGCAAGCGUUGUCCGGAUUUACUGGGCGUAAAGCGCGUGUAGGCGGCCCGUUUAGUCUGUCGUGAAAUCUCCGGGCUUAACCCGGAACGGUCAGCCGAUACUGCAGGGCUAGAGUGCAGAAGGGGCAACUGGAAUUCCUGGUGUAGCAGUGAAAUGCGUAGAUAUCAGGAGGAAUACCGAUGGCGAAGGCAGGUCUCUGGGCUGACACUGACGCUCAUGCACGAAAGCGUGGGGAGCAAACAGG
This 253-nucleotide ribosomal RNA is filed under the name uncultured bacterium. RNAcentral's name for it is "partial 16S ribosomal RNA". It matches the Rfam family "Bacterial small subunit ribosomal RNA", at positions 524 to 776 of the family's 1533-position model. The record is from RNAcentral.